AUGGAGCAAACUUGUGGACAUGCUCACAUGCUUUUGUACAGCUGACUUCUCUCAGAUGCAUUCUUUCAGCCCUCUCUCAUUGUACUCUUGAGCAUAUGAGUAGUGUAACUGCCAGGAGUUGUAAAGGAUCUCCAGAAGACACAAAGAACUUUAUCUGAACUUCAUAUACCUGCAUUAAAGUGUAGAAUGGAAGAUGGCAUUUUACAGUUCAUCAGUAAGGCAGUUUCCAGAGGCUCUUCACCUUUGGGAUCUAGAAGAAAAUAGUGCUUACAGUUUGCUGGCUGUGAAGGAGCUAUGGGGACUGACACCUCUGCCUGUGGCUGCAAACUCACCUCAUCACUCGGCCCCUCAGGGUCACUGGAGGAGCAUCUGCUGAGGCCAUGGUUUGGGGAGUGCUCAUCGUCAACUGGCGUUGUGUCCACCACGUCUACCACAUCGUGUCCAGACAUGCGGGAGGAGGGUGAGUGAGAGCAAAGUAACCACACAGCUGCCUGGCGAGGAGCAAGGGGUCACCGCAGGAAACGAGAAGCGACUUAUCUGUAGAAGUGAUACCUUGGUUGCAGUACUCUUCAUCACUCAGAACGGUUUUUCAGUACUAGAAGUAUGAGAAGAUGAUGACACUAAGAUGAGAACUGAAGAUAUAUUUGAUCAGAAAAAAAUAUGAAGAUUUCAGAGCUUACAAAACAAAUGCGAUGAUUUUCUUGGCCCCAUCCACAAAACCAUUUCCCACUGGAAAACUUCUGCAACCUUAAUGAACUCCAGAAGCAGUAGUUGUGUGUGCAUUUACAAAAAUCUUAAUGUGUGAGCAACUUGUCAGAAUGGUGUCCACCUGAAUUCAGGGAUCUGUACAGCUUUGCAAACCUGAGAAGCACCAAAUGGGAGAAGGGCAUGUGAAGUAUUUUUAUUUGUGUACAUCUAGCUGAAAGGUUUAUUUAUUCUUGUAUUUAGGCCAAACACAAGAGAAGCGAGCCUAUCUUACCUGAUAUGUACUAUAUUAGUGUGAUCACUGUGCUGGAAAUGACCAAUUUUCUUUUGCAAUAUUAUUCCUAUGGUCAGCUGCCAAAAAAAAAAAUGUUAAAAUUUUGCCAUAUUUUCUGCUCAAAUUUUUGUAAUAUCUAUAUUGCAUAUAUGUAACUGCAGUAUAUAAGUUGGUGACAAUGGCUUUUUGUAUAUGAUGUGAUAUAUAUGUUAAACAUCUUGGAUAAGUAAGUUGUUGGCCUCCGUAUUUAAUAAAAGCAUACAAAUACUGAA
Cygnus atratus (black swan) is the source of this 1251-nucleotide long non-coding RNA. RefSeq lists it as uncharacterized. Lineage: Eukaryota; Metazoa; Chordata; Aves; Anseriformes; Anatidae. The transcript is spliced from 6 exons. The record is from RefSeq and is a predicted model, not a curated record.